CCUACGGGAGGCAGCAGUAGGGAAUUUUCCACAAUGGACGAAAGUCUGAUGGAGCAACGCCGCGUGAGUGAAGAAGGGUUUCUGCUCGUAAAGCUCUGUUGGUAGUGAAGAAAGAUAGAGGUAGUAACUGGCCUUUAUUUGACGGUAAUUACUUAGAAAGGCACGGCUAACUACGUGCCAGCAGCCGCGGUAAUACGUAGGUGGCAAGCGUUGUCCGGAUUUUUUGGGAGUAAAGGGAGUGCAGGCGGUUAAAUAAGUCUGAUGGGAAAGCCUUCGGCUCAACCGGAGAAUUGCAUCAGAAACUGUUGAACUUGAGUGCAGAAGAGGAGAGCGGAACGCGAUGUGUAGCGGUGGAAUGCGUAGAUAUAUGGAAGAACACCGAUGGCGAAGGCGGCUCUCUGGUCUGCAACUGACGCUGAGGCUCGAAAGCAUGGGUAGCGAACAGGAUUAGAUACCCCUGUAGUC
This 465-nucleotide ribosomal RNA is filed under the name uncultured bacterium. RNAcentral describes it as "partial 16S ribosomal RNA". It matches the Rfam family "Bacterial small subunit ribosomal RNA", at positions 338 to 795 of the family's 1533-position model. The record is from RNAcentral.